This 107-nucleotide small nucleolar RNA is filed under the name Sorghum bicolor (sorghum). RNAcentral describes it as "Plant small nucleolar RNA R71". It matches the Rfam family "Plant small nucleolar RNA R71". Rfam says of the family: R71 is a member of the C/D box family of snoRNAs containing the C (UGAUGA) and D (CUGA) box motifs. Multiple nearly identical copies of this snoRNA have been identified in Arabidopsis, and it is thought to function as a 2'-O-ribose methylation guide for 18S ribosomal RNA. Lineage: Eukaryota; Viridiplantae; Streptophyta; Magnoliopsida; Poales; Poaceae. The record is from Rfam by way of RNAcentral.
UUCCAUGGUGAGGACAAUCUGAUAUAUAACCUUGAAAAUGCUCCCAUGCUUCUGGAAUGGUUUCUUAUUUCUGCUGUUGGAAAUUGGUUAUCUUUCCUCUUAAGGCA